GCUAUACAUGCAAGUCGAACGAACUCUGGUAUUGAUUGGUGCUUGCAUCAUGAUUUACAUUUGAGUGAGUGGCGAACUGGUGAGUAACACGUGGGAAACCUGCCCAGAAGCGGGGGAUAACACCUGGAAACAGAUGCUAAUACCGCAUAACAACUUGGACCGCAUGGUCCGAGUUUGAAAGAUGGCUUCGGCUAUCACUUUUGGAUGGUCCCGCGGCGUAUUAGCUAGAUGGUGGGGUAACGGCUCACCAUGGCAAUGAUACGUAGCCGACCUGAGAGGGUAAUCGGCCACAUUGGGACUGAGACACGGCCCAAACUCCUACGGGAGGCAGCAGUAGGGAAUCUUCCACAAUGGACGAAAGUCUGAUGGAGCAACGCCGCGUGAGUGAAGAAGGGUUUCGGCUCGUAAAACUCUGUUGUUAAAGAAGAACAUAUCUGAGAGUAACUGUUCAGGUAUUGACGGUAUUUAACCAGAAAGCCACGGCUAACUACGUGCCAGCAGCCGCGGUAAUACGUAGGUGGCAAGCGUUGUCCGGAUUUAUUGGGCGUAAAGCGAGCGCAGGCGGUUUUUUAAGUCUGAUGUGAAAGCCUUCGGCUCAACCGAAGAAGUGCAUCGGAAACUGGGAAACUUGAGUGCAGAAGAGGACAGUGGAA
This 653-nucleotide ribosomal RNA is filed under the name Lactiplantibacillus plantarum. RNAcentral's name for it is "bacterial SSU rRNA". It matches the Rfam family "Bacterial small subunit ribosomal RNA", at positions 48 to 666 of the family's 1533-position model. The record is from RNAcentral. Lineage: Bacteria; Bacillati; Bacillota; Bacilli; Lactobacillales; Lactobacillaceae.